This is a long non-coding RNA of Olea europaea var. sylvestris, 1544 nucleotides long. RefSeq lists it as uncharacterized. The transcript has 9 exons. NCBI's taxonomy places the organism in Eukaryota, Viridiplantae, Streptophyta, Magnoliopsida, Lamiales, Oleaceae. The record is from RefSeq and is a predicted model, not a curated record.
CUUGGACUUAUAUGCAAUUGAUUGGAAGAUAUAAACUCAAGAAGCUCAAAUGGACUUUCUCAGCAUAAUGUACUUCAGGAGGAGUUUAUUGUUGCUUUAACUAGAUUAUUAGUAAUUGACACUUGACUUGAACUUUCAUUAUAAAGGUGCAAAUUUUCAACAAUUCGAUGAGUAAUAUAGAGCAAAUCAAGUUGGCCGGCAUGGCAUUGUUUUAUGGCUUUGAAUCUUUAUAAUCUCUGUUUAUGAAGCUCUAAAUCUUUCUUGAAGCACUUGAAUGAACUUGGAAACUAUGAAGCUAAUACAAGUGGAAAUGGGACUACUCAAGUUCAUAACAUAGCCGAACCAGUCAACAAUUUUCACUUGGAACUGAAACUUGUGUUGAUGCUAGACCAAGUGCCAGACGUAAAGCUUCAAGAUUUGGGAAACCUGUUAUUGAGGAAGAAAACUUGGAAUCUUUUGAUAACUCGAAUCUAGCUGCCUGCUGUCAGUACGACAGUUCUUUAGGCUUGUUAACAAAAAAAUUUAUCAAGUUAAUCCAGGAGGCUGACGAUGGUACUCUUGAUCUAAACAGAACUGCUGAAGUUUUGGAGGUCCAGAAGAGGUGAAUUUAUGACAUUACCAAUGUUCUUGAAGGCAUAGGUCUAAUAGAUAAGACUACUAAGAAUCACAUACGUUGGAAGUGAUGCUGUUGAACACUUGAUGUUAUUUUUAUUUUGUCUUGUUAUUUCUUACAAUUAAUGAGCUUCUUCAUGACAGAGGAUCUAGGAUAUUUGGACCAAGAGAGCUGCGUGAUCAAGUGUCUCAAUUGAAGGCUGAAGUUGAGCGUCCAUAUGCCGAAGAACAUGGAAUUGAUAAUAGCAUAAGGGACAAACUAGAUCAUCUAUCAGAACUGGGAUCUAAUCUGAAUUGUCAAAAGAAUCUUCUUCUGACUGGAGAUGGUCUCAUGAGCCUCCCAUGUUUUAAGAACCAAACUGUCAUUGUCGUUAAAGCUCCCCAUGCUAGUUGUAUAGAAGUUCCUGAUCCGGAUGAGAGGGAUAAUGAUUACCGGCUAAAAUCAGAUCAUGAGGUCAGUGCAGUAGAUAUGUGGGGUAAAGAAGAUUGCUAGUUACUAAACACCUUUGAAAAAAAUUGGAUGGCCAUCAAUUCCGGAUGUUUAUAUAAUUUCUUUCUUUAUUUUUUCCUCCAAUGCGACAAAUAUAAGCAAUGAUUCUCAGUAGGUAGAUAUGAAGGAUAAGUGUAGCACCAGCUCAGGUUUAGUUCAACACAUGCUCUGGUGAUAUAGGUUGAAAUAAGUGGCUGCUGAAGAUAACUUAAAAGGGUUUGUUACAUUUAGAAGUAGAAUGUAAAUUUUAGCAACUAACGAGUGAAUGAUGACGGUCGAUUGCAAGUUAUCACUAAUGGAAAAUUAUCUGUAAUCUUUCACUUCUGUUUGAUAGCAUAGGACAGGAUAAACCAACAUUUUUUUUCUUUUAUUUUUUUGUUGUGUGUUGGGGUUGGGGAAACUUUUGUGUGGUAUUAUGUGUAUGAAAGAUAUAGUUUCUGGC